CAGUAGCCACGGUAAUACGAAGGGGGCUAGCGUUGCUCGGAAUUACUGGGCGUAAAGGGCGCGUAGGCGGAUAGUUUAGUUGGGGGUGAAAGCCCGGGGCUCAACCUCGGAACUGCCUUCAAUACUGGCUAUCUUGAGUACGGGAGAGGUGUGUGGAACUCCGAGUGUAGAGGUGAAAUUCGUAGAUAUUCGGAAGAACACCAGUGGCGAAGGCGACACACUGGCCCGUUACUGACGCUGAGGCGCGAAAGCGUGGGGAGCAAACGGGAUUAGAGACCCCCGUAGUCCCUGUCUCUUAUAC
Molecule: ribosomal RNA, 301 nt
Filed under: uncultured bacterium
Lineage: Bacteria
Description: partial 16S ribosomal RNA
Rfam family: Bacterial small subunit ribosomal RNA
Source: RNAcentral